ACCAGCCAGGCGGGGGCCAGGGAUCGCCUCCCGAGAGGUGCCCGGGCCGUGGCCCAGAGUCGCUUCCCCACUGCCCCGCCCUCCAGCCAGCCCCUGCCCGACCUCGCAGACCACCUCAGUGCGCAGGCGACUGCCCUCGCCACGCCGCGCCGCCCUGCCUCGUUCACCCCGCCCCGCGCUGAACCCAGCCCCAGCGAGGAGUCCGACCAGACGGCAAUCGACCAGACGGCGAUCGGGAGCUACUACCAGCUGUUCGCAGCGGCUGUGGGCAACGUGGAAUGGCUGCGAUUCUGUCUGAACCAGAGCCUCAGGGAAAUCCCCACCGACGACAAGGGCUUCACUGCCAUCCACUUCGCCGCCCAAUGGGGCAAGCUUGCAUGCCUGCAGGUCCUGGUAGAGGAGUACAAGUUUCCCGUGGACCUGCUGACCAACAAUAGCCAGACACCCCUGCACCUCGUCAUCCACAGGGACAACACCACCGUGGCCCUCCCCUGCAUCUACUACCUGCUGGAGAAAGGCGCAGACCUCAAUGCUCAGACAUGCAACGGCUCCACGCCCCUGCACC
This 565-nucleotide small RNA is filed under the name Pan troglodytes (chimpanzee). RNAcentral describes it as "retained intron". The record is from RNAcentral. Lineage: Eukaryota; Metazoa; Chordata; Mammalia; Primates; Hominidae.